CCUCCUUGUCUCCGUCGUGCGGCCUCUUGGUCCCUGGUCGGGCGGCUGCCCCAGCCAAGUCGCGUGAGGGAAGACGGCCCUACGGGUUGUAAACCUCUUUUGUCAGGGAGCAAGGUGUAGGUCGGGACCUGCUGUGAGAGUACCUGAAGAAAAAGCAUCGGCUAACUCCGUGCCAGCAGCCGCGGUAAUACGGAGGAUGCGAGCGUUAUCCGGAUUUAUUGGGUUUAAAGGGUGCGCAGGCGGAGGCACAAGUCAGCGGUAAAAUCGCGGGGCUCAACCCCGCUCCGCCGUUGAAACUGUGUCCCUUGAGUGCGCGAAGGGUAGGCGGAAUGCGUGGUGUAGCGGUGAAAUGCAUAGAUAUCACGCAGAACUCCGAUCGCGAAGGCAGCCUACCGGCGCGCAACUGACGCUCAUGCACGAAAGCGUGGGUAUCGAACAGGAUUAGAUACCCCAGUAGUC
RNAcentral lists this ribosomal RNA (459 nucleotides) under uncultured bacterium. RNAcentral describes it as "partial 16S ribosomal RNA". It matches the Rfam family "Bacterial small subunit ribosomal RNA", at positions 338 to 795 of the family's 1533-position model. The record is from RNAcentral.